AAUGAACGCUGGCGGCAGGCCUAACACAUGCAAGUCGAACGGGUCCUUCGGGAUUAGUGGCGGACGGGUGAGUAACGCGUGGGAACAUACCCUUUGGUACGGAAUAGCCUCGGGAAACUGAGAGUAAUACCGUAUGUGCCCUUCGGGGGAAAGAUUUAUCGCCAAAGGAUUGGCCCGCGUUGGAUUAGGUAGUUGGUGGGGUAAUGGCCUACCAAGCCGACGAUCCAUAGCUGGUUUGAGAGGAUGAUCAGCCACACUGGGACUGAGACACGGCCCAGACUCCUACGGGAGGCAGCAGUGGGGAAUCUUAGACAAUGGGGGAAACCCUGAUCUAGCCAUGCCGCGUGAUCGAUGAAGGCCUUAGGGUUGUAAAGAUCUUUCA
RNAcentral lists this ribosomal RNA (382 nucleotides) under uncultured bacterium. RNAcentral's name for it is "bacterial SSU rRNA". It matches the Rfam family "Bacterial small subunit ribosomal RNA", at positions 29 to 438 of the family's 1533-position model. The record is from RNAcentral.